RNAcentral lists this transfer RNA (68 nucleotides) under Grimpoteuthis sp. RNAcentral's name for it is "tRNA-Tyr". The record is from RNAcentral. Lineage: Eukaryota; Metazoa; Mollusca; Cephalopoda; Octopoda; Grimpoteuthidae.
UAUGAGGUGGUCGAAAAAUUAGUCGUUAGAUUGUAAAUCUAUGAAUAAGUUAAAUAACUUUCUCGUAG